This 425-nucleotide ribosomal RNA is filed under the name uncultured bacterium. RNAcentral's name for it is "partial 16S ribosomal RNA". It matches the Rfam family "Bacterial small subunit ribosomal RNA", at positions 354 to 796 of the family's 1533-position model. The record is from RNAcentral.
GUGGGGAAUAUUGCACAAUGGGGGAAACCCUGAUGCAGCAACGCCGCGUGAGUGAUGAAGGCCUUCGGGUCGUAAAACUCUGUCCUCAAGGAAGAUAAUGACGGUACUUGAGGAGGAAGCCUCGGCUAACUACGUGCCAGCAGCCGCGGUAAUACGUAGGGGGCUAGCGUUAUCCGGAUUUACUGGGCGUAAAGGGAGCGUAGGUGGAUAUUUAAGUGGGAUGUGAAAUACUCGGGCUUAACCUGGGUGCUGCAUUCCAAACUGGAUAUCUAGAGUGCAGGAGAGGAAAGUAGAAUUCCUAGUGUAGCGGUGAAAUGCGUAGAGAUUAGGAAGAACACCAGUGGCGAAGGCGAUUCUCUGGACUGUAACUGACGCUGAGGCUCGAAAGCGUGGGGAGCAAACAGGAUUAGAUACCCCUGUAGUCC